RNAcentral lists this ribosomal RNA (555 nucleotides) under Hylophorbus rufescens (red mawatta frog). RNAcentral describes it as "partial 16S ribosomal RNA". It matches the Rfam family "Bacterial large subunit ribosomal RNA", at positions 1829 to 2597 of the family's 2925-position model. Lineage: Eukaryota; Metazoa; Chordata; Amphibia; Anura; Microhylidae. The record is from RNAcentral.
CGCCUUCUGACAAUCAAUUGAAGGUCCAGCCUGCCCAGUGAACAAACUUAAACGGCCGCGGUAUCUUAACCGUGCAAAGGUAGCACAAUCACUUGUUCUUUAAAUAAGGACUAGUAUGAACGGCACCACGAGGGUUACACUGUCUCCCCCCUUUAAUCAGUGAAAUUAAUCUCCCCGUGAAGAAGCGGGGAUAAGCCUAUAAGACGAGAAGACCCCAUGGAGCUUUAAACUAAGUAUCACUUGCAUGUUAAUAUCACUUAAACCUCAACAAAUCUGCUUACUAGUUUUUGGUUGGGGCGACCACGGAGCACAACAAAACCUCCAUGAUGAAAGGAAACACCUUCCUAAUCAAAGAGCCACCACUCAUAGAAUCAAAAUAUUGACCUUAAUUGAUCCAAUAAACUUGAACAACGAACCAAGUUACCCUGGGGAUAACAGCGCAAUCCAUUUCAAGAGCCCCUAUCGACAAAUGGGUUUACGACCUCGAUGUUGGAUCAGGGUAUCCUAGUGGUGCAGCCAUUACUAAAGGUUCGUUUGUUCAACGAUUAAAACCCU